Long non-coding RNA from Pungitius pungitius (ninespine stickleback), 1758 nucleotides. RefSeq lists it as uncharacterized. The record is from RefSeq and is a predicted model, not a curated record. The transcript has 4 exons. Lineage: Eukaryota; Metazoa; Chordata; Actinopteri; Perciformes; Gasterosteidae.
AAAAAAGGAUAUUGGCUGGUUGUUACAUUUACUAAUGUGUAACAUGUAGAAUGAACGAUAUUCAUUAAUGUUUUCAAUGUGAACGUGAUUCAGUCAUGUAGGAUUGGCAUGAACUUCAAAAACGUAACGUUUAUUAGAUCCAUUCAUGUUGCGAUUAACUGAGACAAUCGAGUAGCCAGGCAUGACCGCGAAAACCAAGGCGAGGGCAGUCUUCGUCAGAACCAGAUUAAGAAGAUACACCGUUGGCCGCACAUGGAAAAGCAAUUUCUGACUGCAAAAGUGUCCUGUGUCUGCUAUCCCCCAAAGUGUGUCUUGGAUCAACCUCACUGACUACACCAUCCCACUACAAGUCUCCUGGAAUUCAAGAGAAUCACAACAAUCAAUUUGCAGUCAAAGUUCUUCUCCCAGCUGGAUCUGUACUCUGAAAACCUGAUCCAGGUGUAUGCCAAGAAAAGUGGAGUUCAAGGGAGAAAGAUCAAGAGCAUCAUAACCCAGACUGCCAGCAUUGACGUCAGACGAGAAUGCGUCCUCAAAGGUCUAUGUGUUUACUUGAACGAAGAUCCAGAGAAGCUGGUGAAGGAAUACACGAAUAUUGAAAGCAGUCAAACAGCUAUGGCGGAGACAGUCUUUGCGAUCCAUGUGAUUCGAAAAGAAGGAGCGGAGCCCAGUGAUGACCCAGAUGAAGUCGGAGUCAUUCUGGAGGGGGUGGAAGUGCUGAGCGAGUUGGGAAAUGUACCCUUUGCAGUGUCAAUGUUGCUUGCGCUUGUGUAUGCUCUCAACUUGAGCUACCCUCGAGAGCUCAAGUAUACUUUUGAAGUUCUGCAGAAAAUAAUAAUGGAACUAGACCCAAACAAACUAUCCAUAAAAGGACAAGCUCUCAAAAUAAAGCUAUCCCGUUAGACACAUUAUGAUGGCUAAAGCAGAUUAGACACUUCUGUGUGUGUUUAUUAUUUUCUGUAUUCCUGCGUGUUCACCAGUGCAUUAAUUAAGUAAUCACAAGUCUUUAAGAUGAAUGUUGUGAAUGUAAGAGGAUAAGAGGGAUGUUUGUACAAAGACAAAGUCUUCAGAGUUCAGGUCAAGACUGCACUAAUAACCACUGUUAGCACUUUCAAAAAUGUAUUUUAAUUGUGUAAGUGUCAUAGAAAGUUGAGAAAAGCUUUUGAUAUGUAUGUUUAUAAGAGAAGCUGCUCAUUAAAACAUUAUUCAGUGCCUACUUUGAGAAAUACAGUUGUAUUGCAACAUCUCUCAUUUGUCUUGUUUCCAGCCAAAACAGUUGUAUAUUUUGUUAAAACUUAGUUUUAGUUGUGGUUCAGGGUAAAUGUUAACACUAACAUUUUUAGUAUUACUAUAGCGAAAUCAUGGAAAGUAUUUCAACAUAAUUUAACUGCUUUCUUUAAGCAAUAAGCAAUUAAGUUGGUUCACUAUAAUAUACUCAAGUCGGAUCAACGUAAUUUAUUAGAGUUAGUCCAACCUAUUUUUCUUGGGCAGGAUUAAAUUGAAUAAUUUGGGUUGGUCUAACUUCAUUGACUAGCCUACAUUUUACUAAUGUGGCAUUAGUCAAACCAACCGUAUUCAUUUGAGUUUGACACAACCCAAGAAAAUGCGUUGAACCAACCAUAAUAAAUUAAGUUGAUCCUACUCAAAUACAUCAAGUCGUAUCAACAUAAUUUCUUUAUGCUCAAAGAAUCAAUAAAAUAGUGUGCAAAUCAUUUCCAUGAUUUUAUUAAGUUCGUUGAAAGCGUUGUUUUUUUGAGUGCG